RNAcentral lists this ribosomal RNA (580 nucleotides) under uncultured bacterium. RNAcentral's name for it is "bacterial SSU rRNA". It matches the Rfam family "Bacterial small subunit ribosomal RNA", at positions 102 to 669 of the family's 1533-position model. The record is from RNAcentral.
ACGGGUGAGUAACACGUAGGCAACCUGCCCUCAAGCUUGGGACAACUACCGGAAACGGUAGCUAAUACCGAAUACUUGUUUCCUUCGCCUGAAGGAAACUGGAAAGACGGAGCAAUCUGUCACUUGAGGAUGGGCCUGCGGCGCAUUAGCUAGUUGGUGAGGUAACGGCUCACCAAGGCGACGAUGCGUAGCCGACCUGAGAGGGUGAUCGGCCACACUGGGACUGAGACACGGCCCAGACUCCUACGGGAGGCAGCAGUAGGGAAUCUUCCGCAAUGGGCGAAAGCCUGACGGAGCAAUGCCGCGUGAGUGAUGAAGGUUUUCGGAUCGUAAAGCUCUGUUGCCAGGGAAGAACGCUUAGGAGAGUAACUGCUCCUGAGGUGACGGUACCUGAGAAGAAAGCCCCGGCUAACUACGUGCCAGCAGCCGCGGUAAUACGUAGGGGGCAAGCGUUGUCCGGAAUUAUUGGGCGUAAAGCGCGCGCAGGCGGUCAUUUAAGUCUGGUGUUUAAUCCCGGGGCUCAACCCCGGAUCGCACUGGAAACUGGGUGACUUGAGUGCAGAAGAGGAGAGUGGAAUUC